GUGGAAAUAACAGAGUCCUAUAUUAUGAUUUAGACAACAAGAAUUCUUGCCUCUGAUCUAUUGUGACCAAGUGUGUCAUCUUAGGGAGGUAUGGUCGUGAAGAGCACCGAUUACAGAAGGAGAAUUGCAACUGCUUUGCACCAAAGACAAGAGGCCAAAAGAAAGGCAUUCCUCAUCUUGAAAGCCUAGUUUUGAAAUCCCAGAGCCAAAAUUUGGACCCAAAGUGAUAGAUUUUUGAAAGCCUGCAUGUUGAAG
RNAcentral lists this long non-coding RNA (255 nucleotides) under Homo sapiens (human). RNAcentral describes it as "HSALNT0314732". Lineage: Eukaryota; Metazoa; Chordata; Mammalia; Primates; Hominidae. The record is from RNAcentral.